CUUGUUAUGGUGUUCAACAUCAUCCAAUUAAACACAGACAGUGGAUCCCCGUGCAGCAUUCAACAUGGUCGACCAUGACAUACUACUGGACUGACUAAAUCUGGGUGGGAAUAAAUGACAUGUGGUGUUCCCCAAAGUUCAAUUCUGGGGCCUCUCUUGUUCAACAUCUGCAUGCUUCCACUAGCUCAGAUUAUGGAAAGAAACAAAUGAUGUCAUCAUAAUUAUGCAGAUGAUACACACAUCCACGUAACUAUAUGGGACUACAAUCCCACACACGGGUUGGCUAACUGCAUUGAACAAACUGGGUGUGACACCAUUUUCAUCAUUUAAACACAAUAAAACAUUAUUUUUUAAUUCAAGGACGAACAAUUGAAAGUAAGCGCUGAGCUUUGAUCGCUGAUGUUAAAACACAAACCAAGCCAGAAAUAUAUGUGUAGUUAUGAAUUCAGACCAACAGCCGUAGCCAAACGAUUUUAAAGUUAGCCCACUAUCACAUAUAGAAUGUAUCAUGGAUUAUAACAUGAUUUGUAGAAGUUUGUCCAUGCGUUCAUCUCCAGUAGACUGGGCUGUUGUAUCAGGCCACAGAGCAUUGCACAGUGUCUUCACAGGUCUCAAGUCCUCACUGAGACAAAGGCAGUGGAUCACUCCAGUUCUGAGGUCUUUAUCUGGCUUCCUGUCCAACAAAGAACUGACUUUAAUAUCCUGCUGUUGGUUUAUGGAGCACUGAAUGGUUUUAGAGCCAAAGGCCUGCUGCUUCCUCGUGGACCAUCUCGACCCCUCAGGCUGCCUGUUCCCAGAGUCAGAACCAAACAUGGAGAAGCAGCUUCGGUUUCUCUGCUCCGCAAAACUGGAACAAACUGCCAGAAAUCUGCAGGUCUACUGAGACUCUCAGCGGCUUCAAAUGAAGGAUGAAGACUUUUCAGUUUACUGCUGCCUUUAAUGAACCAGAUUCAAGGAUGAAGUGGAUGCUUUUUACUGUUUUUCUCUUAAGCUGCACUGCAACUGUCAUUCUUGUUUGUUAUUUUAAUGUCUUUUUUUUACUUGUUUGUUUUUAAUUUCCUUACGAUUUUAAUUCAAGAUUCAAAGAUUUUUAUCGUCAGUUAUUAAAAUUCUUGUGCUUGCCUUUUCUGGAAAGCCGACCAAUUUUAAAAUUAAAAUUAAAAUACAAUAUUUACAUGAAUGUACAUGAAAUAAAAAUAAUGUGAAGAACUUACAAUUUCCGUGUUUUUUAAAAAGUGUUAUACAAAUGAACACUUCCGGCCUUGCUUCACCGUCAUGCAAUUAACAAAAUGGUAAAAGUUAACAUCAGCUCAUGAGAAUAAGAACCAGGCCGUGGCAGCCUGCUUGAGGGGCGUGGGGCUUGGCCCCACCCUGAGCACCCCUCAUUGAUCCACGAAAAAACAAAAGUAACCAUAAAUAGAAAUUGUCAAUAUUCUGCAAUUGUCAAUAUCAAGUGGUCCCGGGAGGCGGCAGUUCAGCCAAUCGCUAAUUAGAGAUAUAAAUGUGUGACACACAGUUUAGCCAAUCGGCGUCCUCAAAUAAGGUGCCACUGUCAGGGCUCGUCUCUACAGGCGUCAUUUUAACCACACGACGACGGCGAUGGCCGAUCAGUGUGGAAAUGCUCCUAAAUAAUAACGUGUGAGUGGCACACACGUAUAAUACAACUCCUAGUUCUAUAUGGUGAUCCACAUAUACAUGUAUUAUAUAUAAUACAGAAGAUAGACAUAGAUUAUUAAUUCUUAUCAAUUAGAUCCUCUUUAGGCUUGUUUUUAUAUUAGAUAAUUGAGAGAACGCAUUAAUCUGAUUGAUUGGGGGCAGCGGGUUGUGUUUGUGUGUUGUGGGGCUUUGAUGCGUGGGCAUGAAGAGAUUGAUUGACCACCCCGGCGUCUAAAGGGAAUUGUUGGAUGUUUAGCCGCCCGGGACGAAGAGCUGGAAGAGCACCUUAAUGCAGCUGGUGUGUUCAAAGGCAUCAAAGAGCACAGGACGAUCUGUAGGGCCGCAGGCCGUCGGUUUCAAAGAAUCACAUUGUGGAGGAAGUAAAGAGCACGGAUAUAUAGAUUAUAUAUGUAACUCUAGAACAUGAUAUAUUUAUAAAUAUGAAUAUGACACAGAAAUACAACAUAAUGGCGCCUCUUGGAAGGUUAAAACAAUCCAGUGCAGCCCACAAGCUCGCCCGAUUAGCCUCUAAUAAAUGUUUUUAUGCAAAUAACUUAAUGACCAUGUCCACGUAGGAUUAUCUCCUCUUAAUGGUCCUCCCACUAUGGCAUCCAUUAGUCGCUGGUACCCAAUUUCAGAGCCAUUGCUCAUACAGCCAAAUGAGAGAGGCGAGUCUCUAAUGAGCUGCCGCCCAAUAUGUGCACACGUAGCACCACGAGGUUGGGCUGCAGAGGACGGGGCCAUGCAUCAAACACCCUGGCUGGAGGCCUAUCCGGGCCCCUCUGGUGCGGCUAACGUCACUGUGUGUGGCAGCUCCCACCAUCAGCAUUUCAAAACGUAGUGUUGAAGAGCUGUGAGUGGUCAGAAAACUAGACAUUAGCAUUCUGCGCUGUUAGCUUUGUUAGCUGCCAGCUGCUGACUCAGCUGUUUAAGGUUUAAGGUUAAUAUGCGUAAUGUGGGGUGACCGAGAGACAUUUAAAACCAGAGUUACAUGGAACGCACCAUCAUAUUCUGUACAAACUAGUCACGGCCGGCAUGCCCAGUGGACCCUUUCACACCUUUACUGACCUGUAUAAAUGUCUACAGGUACCAGGGACGUCAGUAAGAGGGUAGGAGUCAUGGAAGCCAGAUGAGCUGGUUUUGGUUUAAACGUCACACACACACACACACACACACACACACACACACACACGGUAGUAGAGCAGAAGGCAAUGUUAACAUUGGCUUUAACAACCGAUUGUAACAUUAUUGACAAAGUCCGGCCUCUCGCACCUUAUUGCUUAAUUAUUGAACAGCGGCCGAUUAUGUUUGUCAGUCAGCAUCAAUGACACACAUAUCGCAUAAAUAAUUAUAAUAAACAGAAAAAAUAUAAAUACAAGUUUAUUAAAUAAAAAGUGCCUACCUUGCCUACCCAUGAUUCGUUGGGGAAGCCAGAGACCGUCACUAAGGGGAAGUCAAUGAGCCUGUCCAGAUCUGAUUUUCAGCACAAACCUUUUCCUCUACUAUGUACGUUUUGCAACUUUUCAAUCCAAGAUGUCUUCCGUCUGUCCGGAGUUUAUUCAUUUUUGAACACAACAUAACAGCCAUUAUUUAAUGGAAUAUUACUGACUUUGGUAGAGGGUUAGCCGUUUAGUUUGCUCUUUGUUGCUCAGCCCAGAGCUGUGUUUGGUUUUCUAUGGAAUGCAUGAAGUGUGUGUUUGUUUGUGUGUUUUGACGUUUGUCCCGUUCUUCCUCCCUGAAUACGUGAAGCCUUACGGACUCAACAGUAAAACCUGAAAUAAACUGUUCCCGAUUCUCAGCAGCUUCUCCGUCCGUUGAAAAAGAAAAAAAAAACCUCAAAUGGAGUGUGUGUACAUUUUAUCAUGUGUGGUAUCGCCUUUUGAAAAUUGCAGGUAGGCGAGUGUUUAACAUUCUCUUGUCAGGCGUCCUCCUGCUGGGACAAUAAAUGCCUGUCCAGUUUUGCUCACAGCGGCAGCUGCAGAUUACAAACAGCAGGAGGACGCCGGAGUCUGAACACAAAAGCGAUAAGGACGCCUGUCUUAGUGCCGCCGCUUUGGCUGGCUUCUCCUCGCGCCAGGAGCCUGCUGCUUUCUAAUAUUUACACACAACUACGACGGCAAAUGUACCGUAACUUCGCCCACACUCUCCUCCCACACCUGGAACCGGUGCGCAUGUUGCUGUGUGUUUCGGUCUUUUGGAAGACAGGGUCCGGGUUAUUUUGGAAGGAAAAGGGAGCGGGAGGCCUAAAUUACUGCACAAGCUGAGUCAAAUUUCCAUCGCAUCUUUUCAUCCAGGAGUUCCAGGAGGAGGGAGGUGUGGAUGAUGGAAACAAGAGUUUUUAUUUUGGAAGUCUGGAGUUUCUGUUUUUCGAGACGAGGGUGGAGGGUGAAAUGCAGAUUCGCUGUCUCGACUGUGACAAUUGGAAAGUGCAGCGGGAAGCCGCAGGCCACGGACACAGCGUAUUACUCACAACAAGUCCAUGUUAUUGAGAAUAAAACACAACGCAGAGAAAGAACACGACUAAUUCUGUGUCGUAAAAAGGCGACAGAAUGCCAAGGUGCUCUUUUGGCGCCUUUCCACCGAGCGGCACGGUACGGGUCGGGUCUGUUAACCAUGAUUUGGCGAGCGUUUCCACCGCCAACAGUACGCUUACUCGAUAGGCGUGGUGUAUUCCAGAAAGUAGUGAUGACGUCACUUGAUGGGCGUGGUACAUGACGGAAAGUAGAUUGACGUAAUUCGAUCGCGCGAGAACUGAAAGCUAACAGCCGACCCUGUUCCUGCUUCUCGAUAUGUGGCUGUUGGUCACAAGGAGACGACACUCUUUGUUUGAGCAAAGGCUACAUGCUGCAGGUGUGUUACGUGUGUUGUCUUUCCCCUUGCGGCACGCGCAAAUGACGACACUCUAUCAACCAAUCAACGCUCUGCAGUGAGUCUAGCUCCGCCCUUCAGUACCAAACAACUGUGCCAGGUGCCCCGACGGAAGGGUACCCAAAAAGUGGUACGGUACGGCUCGGAUUUUUGGUAGUGGAGACACAAAUAAAAGGGUACCGACCCGACCCGUACCGCACCGCUCGGGGGAAACGCGCCAUUAUUCUUUCUUUAAAAUGUCGAUACUUGGUGGAGAUGAGCAUGAUUGACAUCACCUUUGGCCGGUGGUUAGCGCGGUCCCUCACAGCAGGAAGGUCCCGGGUUCGACUCCUUCCUGUGUGAGGGUCUGCGUGGCUUCAUCAGUUGUCUGUGUGUCAAUUGGCUGGUGACCAGGCCAACGUGAACCCCGUGAGACUCUCAAUUCGGAAUCUCUUUGUGGUUAAAUAAAAUGAGGAAUCAUUGCAAUAACAGCACCCUUUGAAGCACUCGCUCAGUAUAAAAACCAGAGCAGGUCACCAACAAUAAAAACACCGUGUGACUUCCAGCCAUUCGCAAAGAAUCACCAACUCGGGCAGAGAAACUGUGCAUAUAUUUUACUUCUUCUUUAUUGUGACCUAAACCCUCAGCGGGAUCUACAGCAGGUAGAAGAACGGCAACUUGUUCCUCUGAACACCCACGAGCAUCACACAAACACAAAAACAAGCGGAGGACACAGAGGAGAGGGGGAGAGAGGGGGAGAGCGGCGAGGCAGAACACACCUCGCCAGAUGUUCGGGCUGCAUCAGAGCUCACACGGCGACGGGUGCAGCCUCCACAGCCUGCAGCAUCUCCUCCAGACGCAAAGUUCCACACCAGACUUCCAGCUUCACACUGCAGCUUUCAGAAGGAGUCA
Gasterosteus aculeatus aculeatus (three-spined stickleback) is the source of this 5415-nucleotide long non-coding RNA. The record is from Ensembl. Lineage: Eukaryota; Metazoa; Chordata; Actinopteri; Perciformes; Gasterosteidae.